UACGGGAAGGCAGCAGUGGGGAAUAUUGCACAAUGGGCGCAAGCCUGAUGCAGCCAUGCCGCGUGUAUGAAAAAGGCCUUCGGGUUGUAAAGUACUUUCAGUCGUGAGGAAGGUGUUAAGGUUAAUAACCUUAGCAAUUGACGUUAGCGACAGAAGAAGCACCGGCUAACUCCGUGCCAGCAGCCGCGGUAAUACGGAGGGUGCGAGCGUUAAUCGGAAUUACUGGGCGUAAAGGGCACGCAGGCGGUUAAUUAAGUUGGAUGUGAAAUCCCCGGGCUUAACCUGGGAAUGGCAUUCAAGACUGGUUAGCUAGAGUCUUGUAGAGGGGGUAGAAUUCCAUGUGUAGCGGUGAAAUGCGUAGAGAUGUGGAGGAAUACCGGUGGCGAAGGCGGCCCCUGGACAAAGCUGGACGCUCAUGUGCGAAAGCGUGGGGAGCAAACAGGGAUUAGAUACC
This 454-nucleotide ribosomal RNA is filed under the name uncultured bacterium. RNAcentral describes it as "bacterial SSU rRNA". It matches the Rfam family "Bacterial small subunit ribosomal RNA", at positions 340 to 786 of the family's 1533-position model. The record is from RNAcentral.